Molecule: ribosomal RNA, 468 nt
Filed under: uncultured bacterium
Lineage: Bacteria
Description: partial 16S ribosomal RNA
Rfam family: Bacterial small subunit ribosomal RNA
Source: RNAcentral
GACGAACGCUGGCGGCGUGCUUAACACAUGCAAGUCGAACGGAAAGGCCCUGCUUUUGUGGGGUGCUCGAGUGGCGAGCGGGUGGGUAACACGUGAGUAACCUGCCCUUGACUUUGGGAUAACUUCAGGAAACUGGGGCUAAUACCGGAUAGGAGCUCCUGCUGCAUGGUGGGGGUUGGAAAGUUUCGGCGGUUGGGGAUGGACUCGCGGCUUAUCAGCUUGUUGGUGGGGUAGUGGCUUACCAAGGCUUUGACGGGUAGCCGGCCUGAGAGGGUGACCGGCCACAUUGGGACUGAGAUACGGCCCAGACUCCUACGGGAGGCAGCAGUGGGGAAUAUUGCACAAUGGGCGGAAGCCUGAUGCAGCAACGCCGCGUGCGGGAUGACGGCCUUCGGGUUGUAAACCGCUUUCGCCUGUGACGAAGCGUGAGUGACGGUAAUGGGUAAAGAAGCACCGGCUAACUACGUG